AGGAUGGCUAAGUGCUCUGGUUUGCCUGGGACUGAGGUGUUUCCUGGAGCAUGGGACUCUCAGUGUUAACACCAGGGAUGU
This 81-nucleotide microRNA precursor is filed under the name Loxodonta africana (African savanna elephant). RNAcentral describes it as "miRNA (ENSLAFG00000030477.1)". Lineage: Eukaryota; Metazoa; Chordata; Mammalia; Proboscidea; Elephantidae. The record is from RNAcentral.